Mauremys reevesii (Reeves's turtle) is the source of this 336-nucleotide long non-coding RNA. RefSeq lists it as uncharacterized. The transcript has 3 exons. Lineage: Eukaryota; Metazoa; Chordata; Testudines; Geoemydidae. The record is from RefSeq and is a predicted model, not a curated record.
GGCCCUCAUUCAGGGCACAGGAUGGACAGUGCUUACUGAAUGAGCAGCCAGAAACCUCUAUCCGUUAUUGCCGGAACUCCUUCCAUAGACACAUACUCAGCAGUUCUGGAUACAUCCCCUCGAACGAUCCCGUGGUCUGACUCUCCACCCACUCACUGCCACCUGGCACAGUAAAGGAAUUUGACUCAGAGUAUCUAUUAAAAUGCAGUUGCUUAGCGCUGGUGAAAGGAUUGACAUCACGGGAGAAUGAAGCUCUCUAUAUAUGCAGCACAAGCACAAAAACUUCACAUACUCCUGCUACACACUAAUUAGCCUGAAGGCUGACAUGGAGGCAAC